Molecule: ribosomal RNA, 485 nt
Filed under: uncultured bacterium
Lineage: Bacteria
Description: partial 16S ribosomal RNA
Rfam family: Bacterial small subunit ribosomal RNA
Source: RNAcentral
AGUGAACGCUGGCGGCAGGCCUAACACAUGCAAGUCGAGCGGCAGCGGGUCCUUCGGGAUGCCGGCGAGCGGCGGACGGGUGAGGAAUACAUCGGAAUCUGCCCUGUCGUGGGGGAUAACCUAGGGAAACUUAGGCUAAUACCGCAUACGACCUACGGGUGAAAGCGGGGGAUCGCAAGACCUCGCGCGACAGGAUGAGCCGAUGUCCGAUUAGCUAGUUGGCGGGGUAAAGGCCCACCAAGGCGACGAUCGGUAGCUGGUCUGAGAGGAUGAUCAGCCACACUGGGACUGAGACACGGCCCAGACUCCUACGGGAGGCAGCAGUGGGGAAUAUUGGACAAUGGGCGCAAGCCUGAUCCAGCCAUGCCGCGUGGGUGAAGAAGGCCUUCGGGUUGUAAAGCCCUUUUGUCCGGGAAGAAAUCGUCUGGGCUAAUACCCCGGGCGGAUGACGGUACCGGAAGAAUAAGCACCGGCUAACUUCGUGC